GAUGAAGAACGCAGCGAAAUGCGAUAAGUAAUGUGAAUUGCAGAAUUCAGUGAAUCAUCGAAUCUUUGAACGCACAUUGCGCCCGCUAGUAUUCUGGCGGGCAUGCCUGUCCGAGCGUCAUUUCAACCCUCAAGCCCCCGGGCUUGGUGUUGGGGAUCGGCGAGCCUCCGCGCCCGCCGUCCCCUAAAUCUAGUGGCGGUCUCGCUGUAGCUUCCUCUGCGUAGUAGCACACCUCGCACUGGGAAACAGCGCGGCCACGCCGUUAAACCCCCAACUUCUGAACGUUUGACCUCGGAUCAGGUAGGAAUACCCGCAGAACUUAAGCAUAUCAAUAAGCGGAGGA
This 343-nucleotide unclassified non-coding RNA is filed under the name soil metagenome. RNAcentral describes it as "partial contains 5.8S ribosomal RNA, internal transcribed spacer 2, and large subunit ribosomal RNA". The stretch from base 1 to 120 matches the Rfam family "5.8S ribosomal RNA", at positions 35 to 154 of the family's 154-position model. The record is from RNAcentral.